UGGGGAAUCUUGGACAAUGGGGGCAACCCUGAUCCAGCCAUGCCGCGUGAGUGAUGAAGGCCUUAGGGUCGUAAAGCUCUUUCGCCUGUGAAGAUAAUGACGGUAGCAGGUAAAGAAACCCCGGCUAACUCCGUGCCAGCAGCCGCGGUAAUACGGAGGGGGUUAGCGUUGUUCGGAAUUACUGGGCGUAAAGCGCACGUAGGCGGACCAGAAAGUUGGGGGUGAAAUCCCGGGGCUCAACCCCGGAACUGCCUCCAAAACUAUUGGUCUAGAGUUCGAGAGAGGUGAGUGGAAUUCCAAGUGUAGAGGUGAAAUUCGUAGAUAUUUGGAGGAACACCAGUGGCGAAGGCGGCUCACUGGCUCGAUACUGACGCUGAGGUGCGAAAAGUGUGGGGAGCAAAACAGGAUUAGAUACCCUGGUAGUCCACACCGUAAAACGAUGAAUGCCAGUCGUCGGGUAGCAUGCUAUUCGGUGACACACCUAACGGAUUAAGCAUUCCGCCUGGGGAGUACGGUCGCAAGAUUAAAACUCAAAUGAAUUG
This 542-nucleotide ribosomal RNA is filed under the name uncultured bacterium. RNAcentral's name for it is "bacterial SSU rRNA". It matches the Rfam family "Bacterial small subunit ribosomal RNA", at positions 355 to 912 of the family's 1533-position model. The record is from RNAcentral.